RNAcentral lists this ribosomal RNA (540 nucleotides) under uncultured bacterium. RNAcentral describes it as "bacterial SSU rRNA". It matches the Rfam family "Bacterial small subunit ribosomal RNA", at positions 355 to 896 of the family's 1533-position model. The record is from RNAcentral.
UGAGGAAUAUUGGUCAAUGGACGCAAGUCUGAACCAGCCAAGUAGCGUGCAGGAUGACGGCCCUAUGGGUUGUAAACUGCUUUUAUGUGGGAAUAAAUUGGCGCACGUGUGCGCCAUUGCAUGUACCUCAUGAAUAAGGACCGGCUAAUUCCGUGCCAGCAGCCGCGGUAAUACGGAAGGUCCGGGCGUUAUCCGGAUUUAUUGGGUUUAAAGGGAGUGUAGGCGGUCUGUUAAGCGUGUUGUGAAAUUUAGGUGCUCAACAUUUAACUUGCAGCGCGAACUGUCAGACUUGAGUACACGCAGCGCAGGCGGAAUUCAUGGUGUAGCGGUGAAAUGCUUAGAUAUCAUGAGGAACUCCGAUCGCGAAGGCAGCCUGCGGGAGUGUUACUAACGCUUAAGCUCGAAGGUGCGGGUAUCGAACAGGAUUAGAUACCCUGGUAGUCCGCACAGUAAACGAUGGAUGCCCGCCGUUGGCGCCCUGCGCCUGCGGCCAAGCGAAAGCAUUAAGCAUCCCACCUGGGGAGUACGCCGGCAACGGUG